GCAGGAGUGGUGGAAUGGCAGACGCGCUGGCUUCAGGUGCCAGUGGUAGCAAUACCGUGUGGGUUCAAGUCCCAUCUCCUGCA
This 83-nucleotide transfer RNA is filed under the name Lachnospiraceae bacterium. RNAcentral's name for it is "tRNA-Leu". It matches the Rfam family "tRNA". Rfam says of the family: Transfer RNA (tRNA) molecules are approximately 80 nucleotides in length. The record is from RNAcentral. Lineage: Bacteria; Bacillati; Bacillota; Clostridia; Lachnospirales; Lachnospiraceae.